UCGUCCGCGCCACAGUGUCGACACGGCGUGCACACAAUAUGGUGGUGGUGGUGUGGAAGUGCGGUACGGUGACAUCAUUUCGUUUUUCUUUCUUUUUUGCUCCGUCGAUGUAUCUGCAAAUGUACUUCAGAACGAUAUCCCGGACAAAACGAAUACGGUUUGAAGAAGCUGUCAAAUUCACGCUCAGCAAGCACUUUCGCCAAGACACUGCACGUGGAAGGCUGCCUUGACCGGCAAUCAAGUACUAUGUCACGUACACGGUGCGGUAUUUUCUCUCUUUCCUUCUUUCGAUCUCAGGGAUUUCCCGGAACGCCAAAUGAGAUCACAUCAGCCAAUUAGAGCGGGCGGUAAACAAACCAAAAAACACGCUUGUUGUUGUGGGAAAUAGAAUUUAGCUACUGCCAAUGGCCAUACACACAAUUAUAGUUUGUCUACUCGCUUUUCCUUUCUCUGUUUAGUUUUCUCCGUGUUCGCAGUGUCGAACGACGACGGCGACUGUGAGUUGUGUCAAGGUAUUUACGCCGUAAUCUGAGGCCGCAAUCCGAGUGCACUCCGAAAUUAUAUCAGUGUUUCGAACAAAAUGUGUCGCACUUCUCGCCGAGUGCGUAAGUGUUUUUUUUUGUUUUGUUUUUUAAUUCUAGCAGCGAAGAAAAAUUCCGUUGCCUACACUCUUAAAAAUGAACUUCAUCACAUAGCACGCUCCUAGCAAACCAUGAUCUCGAAUGAUAUCGUUAUCUGCCCUGAUUUGUAGAAAACGGGAUUCGUACUAUUGUUUUCCGCAGAAGUUCCGAUGUUCAUUUCCGUUUGACUCCUUCAAUGAACGCUAUCACUCAGUUACAUAAACAACAUGAGUGUUGACGUUAUUUUCCACAACUCACGAACUUCUUUGUCCAGAGUGCUGAUAUUUGCAGAUGUUAUUGCUGAUAAAAUUUGCCACAUUUUGUAUAUUCUGGAACUUGUAGAUCGUCAUUUUUGUUCAAGGUAGAGGUGUAUCUUCAUGAGGUUUCUGCUGUUUGCACAAAUUUUUGGUGCCCCAAAAUUAAUUUUGGACAUACAUAGAUAGCUUUGUUCCUCAAACUUAUAUCAUUCGAUAGGGCAUUCAUUUGUCUACAUUUUCCUAUAUGGCAACAUACCUUGAAGUGGUACUGUCAGGUGACAAAAAAUAUAUCUGCCCAACCACUCAAAAAUGGCCAUCUUUGCGGCGGUAAGGGAAGAACCAAAGUGCUUAAAAAAAUUCGAUCGCGGACUGAAAGCUGCCGUUACCUUGACACGAACACAAAAGGAACGGGAUUCGUCGGUUGCGUCGUUCGUGACUUAUGAGCGAAAGAAACGGCUAUUUAACCUUUCCCUCUCCCUUUCUUUCUCAACAAGCGCAACAGCGCAGAGAGUCCCCGGAUUGGUCUCCUCCCCCGAUAACUGGACAAAUCGUUUGAGGAGACCAAUGGGAGCCCAAGUACAGUGCGGUUCCUUUCGCUCACAAAUCACGAA
Long non-coding RNA from Ornithodoros turicata, 1488 nucleotides. RefSeq lists it as uncharacterized. The transcript has 3 exons. The record is from RefSeq and is a predicted model, not a curated record. Lineage: Eukaryota; Metazoa; Arthropoda; Arachnida; Ixodida; Argasidae.